AGUAACCAGCCGCGAGCCCCCUUUUCCAAGAUUCACUUUUUAUUUCCUGCCUGUGGCGGCCGCACCUGAAUAGAACGCGCAUGCGCAAGGCUGUCUGUCGCCGCGCCCUGCCUUCAGUUUGGAACACCUGAGUGGCUUUAUGCCACUUUUCCCAGGGCUUGGACGUCAUUCUGGACCCAAAUUCGGUGAACCGGUUACUCCCAGAGCUGCAGCCAGGGCCCAUUUUGAGGGAGACGUUCAGGUCCAGUCCUCCCGCUGCAGCCUGCUGGUAGCAAGCCGACCUGACCGGAUGACAUAGAUACUAGGUUUUUACAGCAAUUCUCUGAUGACCUUGAUAUGGUAGAACGCUGUGUAUUUCAAAAGUAAGCUCUCAUUUGAGGAAACUAACAAUUCCUGGUUUUGCCAGCUUUUUAGGUCUUGUUCAAGAAAUCCUUCUUCACCCCCAAGGUAACAGAUAUAUUGUCCUUCAUUUUCUUCUACUGCAUUUACAGUUCUGCCUUUCACAUUUAGGUCUUUAAUGCAUUUGCACUCCACUUCUGUAUUUAAGAUCCUGCUCUACUUUUGUCUUCAUAGUGAGCCAGCAUUCACAAUACUAUCAUACUAAACUUAGUCUGUUCUAUCCCCUUUGCCUUAUAGUGCCACCUGUAACUUAUGUGAAGUUCCUGAAAUACCUAAGUCCAAGUUGCAGCUCUGUCAUAUUCUACUGAUUAUUUGUUCCUGUACCUGUACAAGGUUAUUUUUAUUACUUUCACUUUGUGGUAUAUUUUUAAAAAAAAUUUUUUUCUGAUAGAGACAAGGUCUCCCUAUGUUGCCCAGGCUAGUCUCAAACUGCUGGACUCAA
Long non-coding RNA from Sapajus apella (tufted capuchin), 841 nucleotides. RefSeq lists it as uncharacterized. The record is from RefSeq and is a predicted model, not a curated record. Lineage: Eukaryota; Metazoa; Chordata; Mammalia; Primates; Cebidae. The transcript has 3 exons.